Long non-coding RNA from Sinocyclocheilus anshuiensis, 576 nucleotides. RefSeq lists it as uncharacterized. The transcript has 3 exons. The record is from RefSeq and is a predicted model, not a curated record. Lineage: Eukaryota; Metazoa; Chordata; Actinopteri; Cypriniformes; Cyprinidae.
CAGCUUCAAGUGGAACAACCCGCCUGUUCGGUGUUCGCACUGCAGCCAUGAUGCUGCCUGUUCCACAGUCAUUUACUCCAUGAUGGCAACCUUCGCUAUCGCAUUGCUGUGUGUGUUGCUCAGUUGAAUUUGGAGGCAGCUGAUGGAGAAAAUGUUACCAUAUCCUUCAAAACGGCUGGACUGGAGAGAGCCGAUCAAGUGAAGAUAACUUUGACAAGAGGAAGUCAGAAAUAUCUGAUUGCGCAGUACUGUCGCUGUGCUCAUUGUGGGGACUGUGAUGCCGUGGAAACACCGGGAGUCUUACUGCGAGUUGAAGAAGGAACCUUAACUCUUCUACGUGUCAGCUCCAAUAACUCAGGCCUCUAUGAAGUAAAAAUCAUUGGAAAUAAUGUGUCUGGGAUAAAUGCUACACUUGUUGUCAACAAACCUCUAUUGUCCUCCAGUAUAGAGCCAACACAAUCCUCCAUCUCAAAACCUCCAGAAUCCUCUGAACGCCAAAGGCUAUAUGUAUUAUUUGCUCCAGUUGUAUUCAUCUUUGUGGUCUUGGGGGUUUGUUUCUUCUGUAAAUACAAGAAG